RNAcentral lists this ribosomal RNA (467 nucleotides) under uncultured bacterium. RNAcentral describes it as "bacterial SSU rRNA". It matches the Rfam family "Bacterial small subunit ribosomal RNA", at positions 917 to 1382 of the family's 1533-position model. The record is from RNAcentral.
GGGCCCGCACAAGCAGCGGAGCAUGUGGUUUAAUUCGAAGCAACGCGAAGAACCUUACCAGGGCUUGACAUCCAUCGAAUUUGGUAGAGAUACUAAAGUGCCUGCUUGCAGGAGCGAUGAGACAGGUGGUGCAUGGUUGUCGUCAGCUCGUGUCGUGAGAUGUUGGGUUAAGUCCCGCAACGAGCGCAACCCUUGUUAUUAGUUGCUAACAUUAAGUUGAGCACUCUAAUGAGACUGCCGAGGUUAACUCGGAGGAAGGUGGGGAUGACGUCAAAUCAUCAUGCCCUUUAUGUCCUGGGCGACACACGUGCUACAAUGGCUGAAACAAAGAGAAGCAAACCUGUAAGGGGGAGCAAAUCUCAAAAUACAGUCCCAGUUCGGAUUGAGGGCUGCAACCCGCCCUCAUGAAGCUGGAGUUGCUAGUAAUCGCGAAUCAGCAUGUCGCGGUGAAUACGUUCCCGGGCCUU